Molecule: unclassified non-coding RNA, 375 nt
Filed under: uncultured Actinomycetes bacterium
Lineage: Bacteria; Bacillati; Actinomycetota; Actinomycetes
Description: uncultured actinobacterium contains 16S-23S intergenic spacer region
Source: RNAcentral
UCCGAGUUGACCCCGGCAGUCUCCUAUGAGUCCCCGGCAUUAUCCGCUGGCAACAUCGGACAAGGGUUGCGCUCGUUGCGGGACUUAACCCAACAUCUCACGACACGAGCUGACGACAGCCAUGCACCACCUGUGACCGCCCCCGAAGGACCCCGCAUCUCUGCGAGUUUUGCGGCCAUGUCAAACCCAGGUAAGGUUCUUCGCGUUGCAUCGAAUUAAUCCGCAUGCUCCGCCGCUUGGGCGGGCCCCCAUCAAUUCCUUUGAGUUUUAACCUUGCGGCCGUACUCCCCAGGCGGAUAACUUAAUGCGUUAGCUGCGCCACCGAAAGCCUAAGGCCCCCGACAGCUAGUUAUAAUCGUUUACGGCGUGGACUAC